RNAcentral lists this ribosomal RNA (433 nucleotides) under uncultured bacterium. RNAcentral's name for it is "partial 16S ribosomal RNA". It matches the Rfam family "Bacterial small subunit ribosomal RNA", at positions 29 to 507 of the family's 1533-position model. The record is from RNAcentral.
AACGAACGCUGGCGGCAUGCCUAACACAUGCAAGUCGAACGAGACCUUCUGGUCUAGUGGCGCAAGGGUGCGUAACGCGUUGGAACCUGCCCUUAGGUUCGGAAUAACUCCCCGAAAGGGGUUCUAAUACCGGCUAAUGUCUUCGGACCAAAGAUUUAUCGCCUUUGGAUGGGCCCGCGUUGGAUUAGCUAGUUGGUAGGGUAAAAGCCUACCAAGGCGACGAGCCAUAGCUGGUCUGAGAGGAUGAUCAGCCACACUGGGACUGAGACACGGCCCAGACGCCUACGGGAGGAAGAAGUGGGGAAUAUUGGACAAUGGGCGAAAGGCUGAUCCAGCAAGGCCGCGUGAGUGAUGAAGGCCUUAGGGUUGUAAAGCUCUUUUACCCGGGAUGAUAAUGACAGUACCGGGAGAAUAAGCUCCGGCUAACUCCGUG